RNAcentral lists this ribosomal RNA (139 nucleotides) under uncultured bacterium. RNAcentral's name for it is "partial 16S rRNA". It matches the Rfam family "Bacterial small subunit ribosomal RNA", at positions 355 to 511 of the family's 1533-position model. The record is from RNAcentral.
UGGGGAAUAUUGGACAAUGGGGGCAACCCUGAUCCAGCAAUGCCGCGUGUGUGAAGAAGGUCUUCGGAUUGUAAAGCACUUUCGACGGGGACGAUGAUGACGGUACCCGUAGAAGAAGCCCCGGCUAACUACGUGCCAC